ACCAGUCAAACAACUAGUGGUUAAAUACCUAUCGUGAGGAAGGGAGGGAGUAAGAUCAGAAAGGGAAAAACACCCCAUACACACACCUUAAGGAGUCCCUUAGCAGAGAACUUCUGAACUCUCCACCCCCAGGUCUGUCUCAGUCUGACCAGAGGAAAUCUAAUGAUUUACUGUUAAUGAUUUACAUGGUCCAUUGUUCCUACCGUCCUUCAUAUGGGUCGGUGUGCCUGUUGUAAAUUAGGAAUUCCCAUAAAUCAUGGUAAAGUUAGCUUAAGAAAGGCCUCGUCGUCAUUGUAAUGAUGAAUGUGAAAAUAGAUCCUUCAUGACGAAGGAGACAUGAGACCAAAAAUACAGGACACAAAUCUCCUAUAAUUGUAUUUUGAAUUCCAUUGAAAUAUUGUAAAUACUGUUGCCACAUUUUUAUUUGUUCUACAACGAUUACUAUUUACAUCCUUAAUAUUUACUUAGAACUACCUGAUUUAUUGUGUACACACAGAGGUGUUGGAUACACAAAUCAUCAGUAGUCCUGGUCAGGGCAGGAAUGGAUGGACUUCAGAGAAUUUGGUAGGUUGGCCUUGCAGGAGACAAAUUCAAGGGGAAACUCUGCUUGUUCAGAACACAGGUUAUCUGAUCAUAGUCUUUCAGUGUCCUUGAGCUAUUGGACAACUCUGUAAAUUGUAGCUGAUUGAUAACAAUACAAAAUAAUUCUUAUCUAUACACAUGCAAAUGAUAUCCUGCUCAUAAACAGGUCAAUUUACUCUCCUCCCUUCACCUUCCCCAGAAAAAAAAACAAUUUGGCUCCCUUUGCACAUUCAUUUCAGCAUACUAAGUGUGUAAAUGUGCCUGUCCCUCAGAUUCUCUUUUGAACUGGUUAUAACUGCCUGGUUCCCUUGUUGAUGAAUGAUCUUUAAUAAAUAAAAACAUUGAUACCUACACAUUUUCCUAUCUGAAUAAGAGCCAAGAUUUUGCCUCCUUUUUUCUUAAAUUUAUUUUUAAACAAUGUCAAAAUGAUCUCAGUGUCAUUAAUAGAUCAUAAUUUACUCCUAUGUGCAAAGAAACACACAGAAAAA
This 1070-nucleotide long non-coding RNA is filed under the name Marmota monax (woodchuck). The record is from RNAcentral. Lineage: Eukaryota; Metazoa; Chordata; Mammalia; Rodentia; Sciuridae.